AGUGAACGCUGGCGGUAGGCCUAACACAUGCAAGUCGAACGGCAGCACAGUAAGAGCUUGCUCUUACGGGUGGCGAGUGGCGGACGGGUGAGGAAUACAUCGGAAUCUACUUUUUCGUGGGGGAUAACGUAGGGAAACUUACGCUAAUACCGCAUACGACCUACGGGUGAAAGCAGGGGAUCUUCGGACCUUGCGCGAUUGAACUAGCCGAUGUCGGAUUAGCUAGUUGGCGGGGUAAAGGCCCACCAAGGCGACGAUCCGUAGCUGGUCUGAGAGGGUGAUCAGCCACACUGGAACUGAGACACGGUCCAGACUCCUACGGGAGGCAGCAGUGGGGAAUAUUGGACAAUGGGCGCAAGCCUGAUCCAGCCAUACCGCGUGGGUGACGAAGGCCUUCGGGUUGUAAAGCCCUUUUGUUGGGAAAGAAAAGCAGCAGGUUAAUACCCCGCUGUUCUGACGGUACCCAAAGAAUAAGCACCGGCUAACUUCGUG
RNAcentral lists this ribosomal RNA (492 nucleotides) under uncultured bacterium. RNAcentral's name for it is "partial 16S ribosomal RNA". It matches the Rfam family "Bacterial small subunit ribosomal RNA", at positions 29 to 507 of the family's 1533-position model. The record is from RNAcentral.